Molecule: ribosomal RNA, 253 nt
Filed under: uncultured bacterium
Lineage: Bacteria
Description: partial 16S ribosomal RNA
Rfam family: Bacterial small subunit ribosomal RNA
Source: RNAcentral
GACGGAGGAUGCAAGCGUUAUCCGGAAUGAUUGGGCGUAAAGCGUCCGCAGGUGGCAGUUCAAGUCUGCUGUCAAGGACCGGGGCUUAACUUCGGAAAGGCAGUGGAAACUGAACAGCUAGAGUAUGGUAGGGGCAGAGGGAAUUCCUGGUGUAGCGGUGAAAUGCGUAGAGAUCAGGAAGAACAUCGGUGGCGAAGGCGCUCUGCUGGACCAUAACUGACACUCAGGGACGAAAGCUAGGGGAGCGAAUGGG